CACCCCUCAAGCCUGGCUUGGUAUUGGGCGUCGCGGGCCUCGCCCGCGCGCCUUAAAGUCUCCCCGGCUGGACCGUUUGUCCCUAAAGCGUCGUGCAAAACCUCGCGGUGGGAUUUGAUGGGCCGGCCGUUAAAUCUUUAUUCAAA
This 146-nucleotide unclassified non-coding RNA is filed under the name uncultured Ascomycota. Its description in RNAcentral is "sequence contains ITS2". Lineage: Eukaryota; Fungi; Ascomycota. The record is from RNAcentral.